GCCCUCGUAGCUCAGGGGAUAGAGCACCCGCCUCCUAAGCGGGGGGUCGUUGGUUCGAAUCCAACCGGGGGCA
Molecule: transfer RNA, 73 nt
Filed under: Catenulispora sp.
Lineage: Bacteria; Bacillati; Actinomycetota; Actinomycetes; Catenulisporales; Catenulisporaceae
Rfam family: tRNA
About the family: Transfer RNA (tRNA) molecules are approximately 80 nucleotides in length. Their secondary structure includes four short double-helical elements and three loops (D, anti-codon, and T loops). Further hydrogen bonds mediate the characteristic L-shaped molecular structure. tRNAs have two regions of fundamental functional importance: the anti-codon, which is responsible for specific mRNA codon recognition, and the 3' end, to which the tRNAs corresponding amino acid is attached (by aminoacyl-tRNA synthetases). tRNAs cope with the degeneracy of the genetic code in two manners: having more than one tRNA (with a specific anti-codon) for a particular amino acid; and 'wobble' base-pairing, i.e. permitting non-standard base-pairing at the 3rd anti-codon position.
Source: Rfam by way of RNAcentral